RNAcentral lists this ribosomal RNA (500 nucleotides) under uncultured bacterium. RNAcentral's name for it is "partial 16S ribosomal RNA". It matches the Rfam family "Bacterial small subunit ribosomal RNA", at positions 30 to 523 of the family's 1533-position model. The record is from RNAcentral.
AUUGAACGCUGGCGGAAUGCUUUACACAUGCAAGUCGAACGGCAGCACGGACUUCGGUCUGGUGGCGAGUGGCGAACGGGUGAGUAAUGUAUCGGAACGUGCCCAGUCGUGGGGGAUAACGUAGUGAAAAUUACGCUAAUACCGCAUACGAUCUAUGGAUGAAAGCGGGGGAUCGCAAGACCUCGCGCGCUUGGAGCGGCCGAUAUCAGAUUAGGUAGUUGGUGGGGUAAAGGCCCACCAAGCCAACGAUCUGUAGCUGGUCUGAGAGGACGACCAGCCACGCGAGAACUGGGACACGGUCCAGACUCCUACGGGAGGCAGCAGUGGGGCAUUUUGGACAAUGGGCGAAAUCCGGAUCCGGACAUUCCGCGUGCAGGAUGAAGGCCCUCGGGUUGUAAACUGCUUUUGUACAGAACGAAAAGGUUUCUACUAAUACUAGGAGCUCAUGACGGUACUGUAAGAAUAAGCACCGGCUAACUACGUGCCAGCCGCCGCAGUAA